GUAGCUUACAAUUGAC
RNAcentral lists this ribosomal RNA (16 nucleotides) under Anopheles pulcherrimus. Its description in RNAcentral is "partial 28S ribosomal RNA". The record is from RNAcentral. Lineage: Eukaryota; Metazoa; Arthropoda; Insecta; Diptera; Culicidae.